UGGGGGAUAUUGCGCAAUGGGCGAAAGCCUGACGCAGCGACGCCGCGUGGGUGAUGAAGGCCUUCGGGUCGUAAAGCCCUGUCGAGGGGGACGAAACGGCUCCGACCUAACACGUCGGGGCUCUGACUGUACCCCUAAAGGAAGCACCGGCUAACUCCGUGCCAGCAGCCGCGGUAAUACGGAGGGUGCGAGCGUUGUUCGGAAUCACUGGGCGUAAAGCGCGUGUAGGCGGUCUGCUAAGUCUGAUGUGAAAGCCCGGGGCUCACCCCCGGAAGUGCAUUGGAAACUGACAGACUGGAGUCCCGGAGAGGAGGGUGGAAUUCCUGGUGUAGCGGUGAAAUGCGUAGAUAUCAGGAGGAACACCGGUGGCGAAGGCGGCAUCCUGGACCGGUAUUGACGCUGAGUGAGCGAAAGCCAGGGGAGCAAACGGGAUUAGAUACCCAAGUAGUCCCUGAGCGGGCUGGCAAGGCGCAU
RNAcentral lists this ribosomal RNA (474 nucleotides) under uncultured bacterium. RNAcentral describes it as "bacterial SSU rRNA". It matches the Rfam family "Bacterial small subunit ribosomal RNA", at positions 355 to 825 of the family's 1533-position model. The record is from RNAcentral.